Molecule: ribosomal RNA, 443 nt
Filed under: uncultured bacterium
Lineage: Bacteria
Description: partial 16S ribosomal RNA
Rfam family: Bacterial small subunit ribosomal RNA
Source: RNAcentral
CCUACGGGUGGCUGCAGUGGGGAAUAUUGGGCAAUGGGCGCAAGCCUGACCCAGCAACGCCGCGUGAAGGAAGAAGGCUUUAGGGUUGUAAACUUCUUUUCUCAGGGACGAAGAAAGUGACGGUACCUGAGGAAUAAGCCACGGCUAACUACGUGCCAGCAGCCGCGGUAAUACGUCGGGUGCAAGCGUGAUCCGGAUUUAUUGGGUGUACAGGGCGUGUAGGUGGGAUCGCAAGUCAGAUGUGAAAACUCAGGGCUCAACCCUGAGCCUGGAUUUGAAACUGGGUGUCUUGAGUGCUGGAGAGGCAAGCGGAAUUCCGGGUGUAGCGGUGAAAUGCGUAGAUAUACGGAGGAACACCAGUGGCGAAGGCGGAUUGCUGGACAGUAACUGACGCUGAGGCGCGAAAGCGUGGGGAGCAAACAGGAUUAGAUACCCGAGUAGUC